Molecule: ribosomal RNA, 410 nt
Filed under: uncultured bacterium
Lineage: Bacteria
Description: bacterial SSU rRNA
Rfam family: Bacterial small subunit ribosomal RNA
Source: RNAcentral
GCAGAACGCGAAGAACCUUACCUACUCUUGACAUCCAGAGAACUUAGCAGAGAUGCUUUCGGUGCCUUCGGGAACUCCUGAGACAGGUCGCUGCAUGGCUGUCGUCAGCUCGUGUUGUGAAAUGUUGGGUUAAGUCCCGCAACGAGCGCAACCCUUAUCCUUUGUUGCCAGCGGUUAGGCCGGGGAACUCAAAGGAGACUGCCAGUGAUAAACUGGAGGAAGGUGGGGAUGACGUCAAGUCAUCAUGGCCCUUACGAGUAGGGCUACACACGUGCUACAAUGGCGCAUACAAAGAGAAGCGACCUCGCGAGAGCAAGCGGACCUCAUAAAGUGCGUCGUAGUCCGGAUUGGAGUCUGCAACUCGACUCCAUGAAGUCGGAAUCGCUAGUAAUCGUAGAUCAGAAUGCUAC